Molecule: small RNA, 561 nt
Filed under: Pongo abelii (Sumatran orangutan)
Lineage: Eukaryota; Metazoa; Chordata; Mammalia; Primates; Hominidae
Description: retained intron
Source: RNAcentral
ACUCUCCUCGUGGGCUUUUGCAGGUUGCUGGUGGUAAUUGGCGCACUGCUUCUCCUGUGUGGCCUGACGUCCCUGUGCUUCCGCUGCUGCUGUCUGAGCCGCCAGCAAAAUGGGGAAGAUGGGAGCCCACCACCCUAUGAAGUGACCGUCAUUGCUUUCGAUCACGACAGCACUCUCCAGAGCACUAUCACAUCUCUGCAGUCGGUGUUUGGCCCUGCAGCUCGGAGGAUCCUGGCUGUGGCUCACUCCCAUAGCUCCCUGGGCCAGCUGCCCUCCUCUUUGGACACCCUCCCAGGGUAUGAAGAAGCUCUUCACAUGAGUCGCUUCACAGUAGCCAGGUGCGGGCAGAAAGCACCUGAUCUACCCCCAGUGCCUGAAGAAAAGCAGCUGCCUCCAAUAGAGAAGGAACUGACUUGAAUAGUUGACUCUUGGAACUGAUGAGAGCUGUCAUUUUAUAAAUAGGGGUGGAGUUAUGUCCAGAGUCUCUGGGAAAAUGGAACACAUACUUUUCUAACCCUCAGAAGUUUUAGGAUGGCAUCUAACACCAUCAUUCUAUGGGAA